This 253-nucleotide ribosomal RNA is filed under the name uncultured bacterium. Its description in RNAcentral is "partial 16S ribosomal RNA". It matches the Rfam family "Bacterial small subunit ribosomal RNA", at positions 524 to 776 of the family's 1533-position model. The record is from RNAcentral.
UACGUAGGUGGCAAGCGUUGUCCGGAUUUAUUGGGUUUAAAGGGUGCGUAGGCGGUGGUUUAAGUCAGUGGUGAAAUACGGCAGCUUAACUGUCGAGGUGCCAUUGAUACUGGGUCACUUGAGUACUGAUGAGGUAGGCGGAAUGGACGGUGUAGCGGUGAAAUGCUUAGAGAUCGUCCAGAACACCGAUAGCGAAGGCAGCUUACUAAGGAGUAACUGACGCUGAGGCACGAAAGUGUGGGGAUCAAACAGG